GUUAACGUCACUGGUUUGAAACACCACAACAAUUCUCAAAUCUCUGCACAUGGAGUGAAGGCUGGAACGACAUUUUCGUAGCUGAGGACUGCGGUGUGGCUUGCACUAUUUAGUGCUGCCACACAGAACACGGCAUUGUGACUCCAUUUUUGCACAUCCAACCCUUGCAUUCCCUCUGCUUCCAUUUUAACUAAAUCAAAUACUAGUAUAAAACCCUACUCUUCCUUUUCCAUUCUCUUUCGCUGCUCAACUGGAGAUGGUGUUGGACUUGGUUUUCUGGCUUCUCUCUUUACUCGCGAACUUUGGCCUCCUCGCUAUGGUCUUUCACGAGCUUUUGUGCUUAACGGACUUGGAGGCUGACCAUAUGAAUCCCUUCGAAGCAACAGCUUCCAUUAACAAGUGGAUUCUGCCUGAGUUUGUGUUGCAAGGGGUUAUCUGCAUUCUCUUCCUUUUGACAGGACACUGGGUUAUGUUUCUCAUGGCAGCACCCCUUACUAUCUAUCAUGUGAUGCUGUUUAUGAAACGAGAGCAUCUUAUUGAUGUCACUGAAGUUUUCAGAAAUCUUAAUUCUCAGAAGAAGUUUAGACUGAUCAAGCUUGGUAUCUACUUGAUUUUCUUCGCCAUUUUAAUGUUCAGGUUUGUUAAGCCCUUAGUACAUAAUUAUUCUGGCUUCUUAUUUGGUUAUUUUAUUCCUUUGACAUGCCCGUCUUUGGUGUAAGAGCAUCUUUCACUUAUCUCUGGUCUAAUCAAGGCUUUCCAUACCGGCUGGGUAUAGAAUUAUUGCAGGCAGCUUAUCAAUUUACAGCUCUGAAGAUAUAGACUUCCGCUCCUCUUUUCUCACUUUAUAGAAACUUCAUUGUAAUCUUUGUUGGAUCUGUAACUCUCUGAUUGCUUUGAAAUGGGUUAAGCAUUAGAUAAAAUUUGAAAGUUUCAAAAAUUUCUGCCCUUCUAUUUUAGAUUCUUUCAAGGGCAGGAAAAAAAUCGUGUUCUGAAGUGCUUGGCCAAUCUUUUUGUAAUAGUUCCAUGUUCUUUUCCAUGUUUGUAUACAGGUUUAUAUAGAUUGCUAGUAACAUUCCAAUCAUGUUAUUUAAUUCGGUCACUUUUGAUCUUGUACAUCUUUGCAUAUGUGUGUGUUUGUGUAAUGAUUCAGGCAUCUGAUUUUUGAAAUUUGGAAUUCUUGCUUAGCCUAAAAUGUCAACUCACAUUGUUAAUUUUUUGGCACAAUAGUAGGAAAUUAUAUGCAUCUUUUUGGACAUUUUUGCAUUUACUUCCUUCUACACCAGGCAUAAGGUCAUGUGAAAAAGAUCAUCAAAGAAGAAAACAUCGAGAAUGUUACAGGAAUGUAAUAUGUGCAUGAAGUUAAUCUAUGUUGUGGCAUUACUUUUGCAUUUGACGAACAUGAAAUGCUUUUUGGUUAGAUGUUAACGUGUAAAGAAGUAGAAACUACUGAAAUAUGCAGAUGACUUUAUAACUGGGAACUUCUGACAUGGCAGAAUAAGGAGCUAGUGUCUGGUGCAGUUUUUACGUUUUUUCUAACAGAAAGCCAAACACACAUCAUACAAAAGAAAAGCUUCACUUGGUAUUCCAAUGAUGUAGAUGUGAUACAAUUUGCUCAAUAAAGGAUUUGCAAAGUCCAAUCCAAACCUGAUUUUUACUAUAAAAGAAAGAGAAAAAUAUGCCUUUAUAAGUGAAGGGUAUCUUUUCUCUGUCUUGAAUUUUGAGUAAUGCCCUAUCUGGCCCCUCAUAUUAUGAAAAUAUUAAGAUUGUGCAGGAGUAUUGAAAAAAGUUUAAGCAAAGGAAUUUAUUGAAGAUCAAGCUAAAGGAUGAGUAUUUUUUCAGUGAAAGUACAAGCUGUGGUUUUUAUUAUCAGAUCAAGCAUAAUUAAAUUUGAUGGCAUUCUCUGUAGAUAUGUAUAAAGAUUAGGGAGCCUUUUCAAUUCUCCAAGAAAUCAUGAGCAUUUUUUAUGAAAGUACAAGUGAUUUGUAUUAUCAGAUCGGCCAUGAUUAAGUCUGAUGCUGGUCCCUGUAGAUCUAGCAAUGUUUGUGCAUUUUCUUUUUUGAGAAGAAAGGUUUGAACAUUUUAGGUAUGAAGAUUAGGGGAGCCUUUUUGAUUCUCUAAGAAAGCAUGAUCAUUUAGGUACUUGUUAUUCAAAACCAUCAAGUUCAGGCAUGCUGUUGCAUGUAGAUAGUUGUUUAUUUACAUGUGCUGGUUGAGGAGGACUGCUUUCUCUUCUUCAUUUGGUGUUUUAUAGCUAGAACUGCUUAUGAACUUUUUUGAAUUCUUUCUUAGAGAGCCAUUCGGGACCUAACUUGGUCUAGUGGGUUCAUCUUGGGAGGCAUAUUUUCUUGGUUGCAUUUGAGGUUUGAAUGAGACAAUAUUCUCUUAUUUGACGUUUACAACUUUUUCUAUAACUUGUGCAUGUAUCCAUGGAAACCAGCAAAAUAAGAUUAUUUUGGUUUUCUUUUUUUUGGGGAAGGAUGUUGUGGGUUGGGGGGUUUACUAUUUUCUUAUUAUUUUUAUUUUGUUUGAGGAGAGGAGGGUAGGUUACAAUUUUAGGUCCACUUAUCUGAAUAUGGUAUUUAUCUACCUCCCUGAAGAGGGACCUUAUCUAUUCUCUCUCUCUCUCUCCAUCCCCUGAUAUGAAGAUCCUAACUUGCAGGAUUACAUUGAAUGCUUUCUACAUUCUAAGAAAUGAAGAUGAUGAGUGAUGACAUUCAGUGUAUUUUGACCACUACGGCUUCAGGAGUGAUAGCUGCUUGUAAGUGGGUUUUUAAAUCCCUGAAUCAUGUGAAAGGAAGUGAAUUGUAGCAUAUACAAAAUUUGAUGUAUUCAAACUUUCAUUUUAGGAUGAGUUUCAUUGAACUGUUUUUGACAUGGUGAACUUUGAUCUCAAGUGUUCCAAUGAUUCACAAAAUGCUUAUAGGCAUGAGUUUAUAAUUAGGUAGUUAAAACAAAGACUGACCUAUUAUAGACAGAACAUGUAUCAACUCAUGAUUCAACGGUGAUGCAUUCCUUUUUCUAAAUUACUUAUAUUUUCUGAUCUGUAUUUCACUAAUACCUAAUG
This 3064-nucleotide unclassified non-coding RNA is filed under the name Hevea brasiliensis (rubber tree). The record is from RNAcentral. Lineage: Eukaryota; Viridiplantae; Streptophyta; Magnoliopsida; Malpighiales; Euphorbiaceae.